CCACAGUUUCACGACCAGGAUUCCCUUCAACUCCACCAGUCACCACAAAAUACUGCUUCAACUUAUCAUCAUACUCCCCUAUUUUCCAUAUAGUUUCUCUAGCACAUAUAGUUGGUGUAUAAAACCUGACAUUAACAUCAGUGGAUACACGUACGACGCCUUUUUUGGCGUCGACACGUGUAAACACAACAGGCAAUCCUUGUUGUACCUCGUUGGCUUCUUGAAUAAUGUCCCUAGGACAAGUGUUGGUUUGUUUGACGUUAGAUGGAUAGAGCCCCCCUCCUCUUCCGCGAAUCACUGGUAAGAUGA
This 309-nucleotide long non-coding RNA is filed under the name Capsicum annuum. RNAcentral's name for it is "long non-coding RNA (CANN_LNC009258)". Lineage: Eukaryota; Viridiplantae; Streptophyta; Magnoliopsida; Solanales; Solanaceae. The record is from RNAcentral.